UCCGGUGUGGUCUAGUGGCUAGGAUUUGUCGCUCUCACCGACAAGGCCGGGGUUCGAUUCCCCGCACCGGAA
This 72-nucleotide transfer RNA is filed under the name Hortaea werneckii EXF-2000. Its description in RNAcentral is "tRNA-Glu (CTC) (tRNA-Glu-CTC-1-1)". It matches the Rfam family "tRNA". From Rfam's summary of the family: Transfer RNA (tRNA) molecules are approximately 80 nucleotides in length. The record is from RNAcentral. Lineage: Eukaryota; Fungi; Ascomycota; Dothideomycetes; Mycosphaerellales; Teratosphaeriaceae.